RNAcentral lists this signal recognition particle RNA (90 nucleotides) under uncultured Oleispira sp. Its description in RNAcentral is "Bacterial small signal recognition particle RNA". It matches the Rfam family "Bacterial small signal recognition particle RNA". Rfam says of the family: The signal recognition particle (SRP) is a universally conserved ribonucleoprotein involved in the co-translational targeting of proteins to membranes. The record is from RNAcentral. Lineage: Bacteria; Pseudomonadati; Pseudomonadota; Gammaproteobacteria; Oceanospirillales; Oceanospirillaceae.
CGGUCCCUUCGCAACGAGAAACUACGAACUCCGCCAGGCCCGGAAGGGAGCAACGGUAGUAGUGGAUUCGUGUGCCGAGGUGUGGCUGGU